Molecule: long non-coding RNA, 284 nt
Filed under: Elaeis guineensis (African oil palm)
Lineage: Eukaryota; Viridiplantae; Streptophyta; Magnoliopsida; Arecales; Arecaceae
Description: long non-coding RNA (EGUI_LNC005018)
Source: RNAcentral
GGGUCAAGUCCUUAUCUUCUUCACUGUUGUCUAAUUUUUUAGAGUCAUCUUCUUCUUAAGCUGUUGACUUGAGGGCUAUGGUCCUCUUUCUUCUGGUUUCCUCCUCAGUGUGCUACUUCAUGGUCAAUUCAUGGAUCAUGAGGGAUCCAAGCAGUUUUUUCAAUGGUAGAACAUUCAAGUCCUUGGCCUCUUGGAUUGCAGUGACUUUCGCUUCUCAUGAUCGUGGUAAUGACCUGAGUACUUUUCUCACAAGAUCACGGUAAAAGUAACAUUUGCCAAGACUU